CACUCACGUUGGAACGACCGAGUGCACCAAACGCUCCGGCGCUGCAGGAUGUGGCUGCGGCCGAUUAGGUAGACGGUGGGGUAACGGCCCACCGUGCCGAUAAUCGGUACGGGUUGUGAGAGCAAGAGCCCGGAGACGGAAUCUGAGACAAGAUUCCGGGCCCUACGGGGCGCAGCAGGCGCGAAACCUUUACACUGCACGACAGUGCGAUAAGGGGACCCCAAGUGCGAGGGCAUACAGUCCUCGCUUUUGUGUACCGUAAGGUGGUACACGAAUAAGAGCUGGGCAAGACCGGUGCCAGCCGCCGCGGUAAUACCGGCAGCUCGAGUGAUGACCGAUUUUAUUGGGCCUAAAGCGUCCGUAGCUGGCCGCGUAGGUUCGUCGGGAAAUCCAUCCGCUCAACGGAUGGGCGUCCGGCGAAAACCACGUGGCUUGGGACCGGAAGGCUCGAGGGGUACGUCCGGGGUAGGAGUGAAAUCCCGUAAUCCUGGACGGACCGCCGAUGGCGAAAGCACCUCGAGAAGACGGAUCCGACAGUGAGGGACGAAAGCUGGGGUCUCGAACCGGAUUAGAUACCCGGGUAGUCCCAGCCGUAAACAAUGCCAAUUAGGUGUGGCACCGACUACGAGUCGGUGCUGUGCCGUAGGGAAGCCGAUAAACAGGCCGCCUGGGAAGUACGUCCGCAAGGAUGAAACUUAAAGGAAUUGGCGGGGGAGCACUACAACCGGAGGAGCCUGCGGUUUAAUUGGACUCAACGCCGGACAUCUCACCAGCAUCGACUGUAGCAAUGAUCAUCAGGUUGAUGACCUCUAUGUUGAGCUACAGAGAGGAGGUGCAUGGCCGCCGUCAGCUCGUACCGUGAGGCGUCCUGUUAAGUCAGGCAACGAGCGAGACCCGCACUCUUAAUUGCCAGCAUCGCGUUCGCGCGGAUGGGUACAUUAGGAGGACUGCCGCUGCUAAAGCGGAGGAAGGAACGGGCAACGGUAGGUCAGUAUGCCCCGAAUGUGCUGGGCUACACGCGGGCUACAAUGGCCGAGACAAUGGGUUCCUACCUCGAAAGAGGAUGGUAAUCUCAGAAACUCGGUCGUAGUUCGGAUUGAGGGUUGAAACUCACCCUCAUGAAGCUGGAUUCGGUAG
RNAcentral lists this ribosomal RNA (1137 nucleotides) under Halogranum sp. KeN-02. RNAcentral describes it as "bacterial SSU rRNA". It matches the Rfam family "Archaeal small subunit ribosomal RNA", at positions 162 to 1294 of the family's 1478-position model. The record is from RNAcentral. Lineage: Archaea; Methanobacteriati; Methanobacteriota; Halobacteria; Halobacteriales; Haloferacaceae.